RNAcentral lists this long non-coding RNA (288 nucleotides) under Sinocyclocheilus grahami. RNAcentral's name for it is "lncRNA (ENSSGRG00000002449.1)". Lineage: Eukaryota; Metazoa; Chordata; Actinopteri; Cypriniformes; Cyprinidae. The record is from RNAcentral.
CCCCGCGUUCGAGGCUGCGCGCGCCAGAUCCGCGAGCUUUACCGGAGCAGAGCGCACGGAGAGACCAGUCAACCGCGUCACGGUACCGGAGCGGAGCGAGCGCGCCGAGAAUCCAGUCAGCCGCAGCGCAGGACAGAGAGCGUCACGGUACCGGAGCGAGCGGGCGCUAUCAGUGGUUUGACGCUCUGCUCAUCUGGACGCUGACGGAACAGAAGCAGAUCUUCUCUGGUGAGCAUCUGCUGCUUUAUUACUGUGAUCAUCUGAGUUCAUGUGAGGUUUCUCUGUUGU